UACGUAGGGGGCAAGCGUUAUCCGGAUUUACUGGGUGUAAAGGGAGCGUAGACGGCCAGACAAGUCUGAAGUGAAAAUCCAGCGCUUAACGUUGGAAGUGCUUUGGAAACCGCCGGGCUAGAGUGCAGGAGGGGCAGGCGGAAUUCCUAGUGUAGCGGUGAAAUGCGUAGAUAUUAGGAGGAACACCAGUGGCGAAGGCGGCCUGCUGGACUGCAACUGACGUUGAGGCUCGAAGGCGUGGGGAGCAAACAGG
RNAcentral lists this ribosomal RNA (253 nucleotides) under uncultured bacterium. RNAcentral describes it as "partial 16S ribosomal RNA". It matches the Rfam family "Bacterial small subunit ribosomal RNA", at positions 524 to 776 of the family's 1533-position model. The record is from RNAcentral.